CAGAGGUGCAAGCGUUGUUCGGAAUUACUGGGCGUAAAGCGUGCGUAGUCGGUAUUGAGAGUCACGGGUGAAAUCCCCACGCUUAACGUGGGAACUGCCUGUGAGACCUCAGUACUAGAGUGUGAGAGGGGAUAGUGGAAUGCCAAGUGUAGCGGUGAAAUGCGUAGAGAUUUGGCGGAACACCGGUGGCGAAGGCGGCUAUCUGGCUCACAACUGACGAUCAGGCACGAAAGCGUGGGAGCAAACAGGAUU
RNAcentral lists this ribosomal RNA (252 nucleotides) under uncultured bacterium. RNAcentral describes it as "partial 16S ribosomal RNA". It matches the Rfam family "Bacterial small subunit ribosomal RNA", at positions 527 to 779 of the family's 1533-position model. The record is from RNAcentral.